Non-coding RNA from Myripristis murdjan (pinecone soldierfish), 621 nucleotides. The record is from the annotation of a RefSeq genome assembly. NCBI's taxonomy places the organism in Eukaryota, Metazoa, Chordata, Actinopteri, Holocentriformes, Holocentridae.
AUGAGCCACCUGACCAUCUCAAGCACAAUACAAGAAGAUGAGGCCAUGUAUCACUGCGCAGUGACCUACUGGAAAGGUGAUGAUUGGAGUGGCACAUUUUUGUCCUUAAAAGGAAACACACAGAGGAUGUCAGACUAUACUGUUGUGCAGAGGCCAGUGUCUGAGCCCGUCUAUGAAGGAGACCCUGUGACUCUCCAGUGUUCACUCCUCUCUGACUCGGAGAACAAAGCCUGUCCAGCAGGACACAGUGUGUUCUGGUUCAGAGCCGGAUCAGAUGAGUCUCAUCCCAGGAUCAUUUACACUCAUGGAAACAGGAGUGAUGGAUGUGAGAAGAGUCCUGAGGCUGGCUCUCCACCACAGAGCUGUGUCUACAACUUUUCCAAGAGCAGCGUCAACUCCUCUGAUGCUGGGACUUACUACUGUGCUGUGGCCACAUGUGGGGAGAUCCUGUUUGGAAAUGCAACUAAACUGGACAUUGAAGAAAAAGGAAGUCCAGUUUUCAUUGCUCUGAUCACGACCGCGGUCUGCCUGGCCCUGUCUGUAAUUGGAAAUAUUGUUCUCAUCUGUAACCGAAAUCCAACCCAAUCAGUGUGUGAACGAUGUAAAGGUAAGCUGUCUUAG